UUCUGGUUGAUCCUGCCGGAGGCUACCGCUAUUGGAGUUCGAUUAAGCCAUGCGAGUCGAGAGUCUUAGGGACUCGGCGUACCGCUCAGUAACACGUGGGUAACCUGCCCUAUGCUGGGGAAUAACCUCGGGAAACUGAGAAUAAUGCCCCAUAGUCCACAAUGCCUGGAACGGUUUGUGGAUUAAAGCCCCGGCGGCAUAGGAUGGGCCUGCGGCGUAUCAGGUUGUAGGGGGUGUAACGUACCCUCUAGCCAUCAACGCGUACGGGUGUUGGGAGACAUAGCCCGGAGAUGGAUUCUGAGACACGAAUCCAGACCCUACGGGGUGCAGCAGGCGCGAAAACUUGGCAAUGCGAGAAAUCGUGACCAGGGAACUCCAAGUGGCUGGGGUAAGACCCAGUCUUUUCUUGACUCUUCAAAGGUCUUGGAAUAAGAGGUGGGUAAGGACGGUGCCAGCCGCCGCGGUAAUACCGGCGCCUCAAGUGGUAGUCGAUUUUAUUGGGCCUAAAACGUCCGUAGCCUGUUUGGUACAUUCGUGGGUAAAUCAACCAGCUCAACUGGUUGAAUUCUGCGAGCACGGCCAGACUUGGGACCGGGAGAGGUGUGGGGUACGCUCAGGGUAGGGGUAAAAUCCUGUCAUCCUGAGCGGACCACCUGUUGUGAAGGCGCCACACUAGAACGGAUCCGACGGUCAGGGACGAAGCCUAGGGGCACGAACCGGAUUAGAUACCCGGGUAGUCCUAGGUGUAAACGCUGUGGACUUGGUGUUGGGGAUUCUCCGAGGAUCUUCAGUGCCGAAGCGAAGGUGGUAAGUCCACUGCCUGGGGAGUACGGUCGCAAGGCUGAAACUUAAGGGAAUUGGCGGGGGAGCACCGCAACCUGAGGAUUGUGCGGUUUAAUUGGACUCAACGCCGGAA
This 916-nucleotide ribosomal RNA is filed under the name uncultured Candidatus Poseidoniales archaeon. RNAcentral describes it as "SSU rRNA". It matches the Rfam family "Archaeal small subunit ribosomal RNA", at positions 1 to 923 of the family's 1478-position model. Lineage: Archaea; Methanobacteriati; Thermoplasmatota; Candidatus Poseidoniia; Candidatus Poseidoniales. The record is from RNAcentral.